Molecule: unclassified non-coding RNA, 314 nt
Filed under: uncultured Aspergillus
Lineage: Eukaryota; Fungi; Ascomycota; Eurotiomycetes; Eurotiales; Aspergillaceae
Description: sequence contains ITS1
Rfam family: 5.8S ribosomal RNA (bases 1-105)
Source: RNAcentral
GAAAUGCGAUAAGUAAUGUGAAUUGCAGAAUUCAGUGAAUCAUCGAGUCUUUGAACGCACAUUGCUCCCCCUGGUAUUCCGGGGGGCAUGCCUGUCCGAGCGUCAUUGCUGCCCUCAAGCACGGCUUGGGUGUUUGCCUUCCGUCCCUGGCAACGGGGCCGCGCCCAAAAGGCCGUGGCGGCACCAUGUCUGGUCCUCGAGCGUAUGGGGCUUUGUCGCCCGCUCCCGUAGGUCCAGCCGGCGGCCAGCCUCGCAACCAACCAUUCUUUAACCAGGUUGACCUAGGAUCAGGUAGGGAUACCCGCUGAACUUAA